UACGAUAGUCACUUCUCAUUAAGUUCGA
Molecule: small RNA, 28 nt
Filed under: Bombyx mori (domestic silkworm)
Lineage: Eukaryota; Metazoa; Arthropoda; Insecta; Lepidoptera; Bombycidae
Description: ovarian small RNA-21026
Source: RNAcentral